GGGCCCGCACAAGCGGUGGAGUAUGUGGUUUAAUUCGACGCAACGCGAAGAACCUUACCAGGGUUUGACAUCCACUGAAUACUUAAGAGAUUAGGUAGGCCCUUUCGGGGGACAGUGAGACAGGUGGUGCAUGGCUGUCGUCAGCUCGUGUCGUGAGAUGUUGGGUUAAGUCCCGCAACGAGCGCAACCCUUAUCCUGUGUUACCAGCAUGAAAGAUGGGGACUCACAGGAGACUGCCGCCGACAAGGCGGAGGAAGGCGGGGAUGACGUCAAGUCAUCAUGCCCCUUAUGUCCUGGGCUACACACGUACUACAAUGGGUGCGAACAGAGGGCAGCAAACCCGCGAGGGGGAGCCAAUCCCACAAAAGCACUCUCAGUUCGGAUCGCAGGCUGCAACCCGCCUGCGUGAAGUCGGAAUCGCUAGUAAUCGCAGAUCAGCAGGCUGCGGUGAAUACGUUCCCGGGCCUU
Molecule: ribosomal RNA, 468 nt
Filed under: uncultured bacterium
Lineage: Bacteria
Description: bacterial SSU rRNA
Rfam family: Bacterial small subunit ribosomal RNA
Source: RNAcentral